RNAcentral lists this RNase P RNA (355 nucleotides) under Pseudolysobacter antarcticus. RNAcentral's name for it is "Bacterial RNase P class A". It matches the Rfam family "Bacterial RNase P class A". Rfam says of the family: Ribonuclease P (RNase P) is a ubiquitous endoribonuclease, found in archaea, bacteria and eukarya as well as chloroplasts and mitochondria. The record is from Rfam by way of RNAcentral. Lineage: Bacteria; Pseudomonadati; Pseudomonadota; Gammaproteobacteria; Lysobacterales; Rhodanobacteraceae.
GGAGUCGGCCGGACAGUCGCGCGAUGCGCAAGCAUUUCGAGGAAAGUCCGGGCUCCAUAGGGCAGGGUGCCAGGUAACGCCUGGGCAGUGUGAACUGACGGCCAGUGCAACAGAAAGCAAACCGCCGAUGGCCGCGCAAGCGGAUCAGGUAAGGGUGAAACGGUGCGGUAAGAGCGCACCGCAUGCGGGGUCAACGCCGCAUGGCAUGGUAAACCCCACCCGGAGCAAGACCAAAUAGGGGAGCUAUGACGCGGCCCGCGUCGCUCCCGGGUUGGUCGCUUGAGCCUGACGGCGACGUCAGGCCUAGACGAAUGACUGUUCACGACAGGACCCGGCUUACAGGCCGGCUCCGCAC